AGAAUGAACGCUGGCGGCGUGCCUUACACAUGCAAGUCGAGCGAGGCGGUUUGGGGGUAACUCCGGACCAGUCGAGCGGCGAACGGGUGAGUAACGCGUGGGUGACCUACCUCGAGGUGGGGGAUAACCCGGGGAAACUCGGGCUAAUACCGCAUAACAUCUAUGGAUCAAAGGGGGCCGCAAGGCUUCCGCCAUGAGAGGGGCCCGCGUUCGAUUAGCUAGUUGGUAGGGUAAUGGCCUACCAAGGCGACGAUCGAUAGCCGGCCUGAGAGGGUGAUCGGCCACACUGGAACUGAGACACGGUCCAGACUCCUACGGGAGGCAGCAGUGGGGAAUUUGCGCAAUGGGCGAAAGCCUGACGCAGCAACGCCGCGUGGAGGAUGAAGGUCCUUGGAUUGUAAACUCCUGUCAGCAGGGAAGAAAUCUGCCGGUGAAUACCCCGGUAGUUUGACUGUACCUGCAGAGGAAGCCCCGGCUAACUCUGUGCCAGCAGCCGCGGU
This 500-nucleotide ribosomal RNA is filed under the name uncultured soil bacterium. RNAcentral describes it as "bacterial SSU rRNA". It matches the Rfam family "Bacterial small subunit ribosomal RNA", at positions 26 to 521 of the family's 1533-position model. The record is from RNAcentral.